UAUUUUUAAUUUUAGAUCUUUUUAAGUUGGCCUUCCUGCUUGAUGAACACCUUAUAUACGAUUGGUAUUUGCAAUUCAUUUCGAAUAACGCGCGUAAUGAAAUCUUUUAAUGUCAUCUUUCCUUAUUCUUUUAAGCUGUUGGUAGCGAAGCUGGUCAAAUAAAUCCAUAAAAAAAGAGUUCAGAAAUCAAGUAGCAAAGGUGAUGAUCCAUAUCCAAGGAGGAAAAUCCAGACUAGUAAGAACUUAUUAUAUGCUUUUUUAAUCAAGGUUCUUUGAAAGAGUUUGAAUUCUUGUCAGUAACUCAGGUACAUAAUAAUGAUAUUAUUAAUGAAUAUAUUUAGAUAAUAAAACGCUAAAUAACACAUAAUUUUAAAUAAUAGGAAGAUUCAUUAAUUUUAGCUGUAAAAAAUGAGUUGGAUUAAAGUUGCCCAACAUUGUUGAAUUGCUAUGGUAUUAUCGCAUUGUUAUUUAUCAGUACAAAAGAUUAUUUAAUAUUUCAAACCAACACAAGCAUGAUUCUUAAUUU
Molecule: long non-coding RNA, 526 nt
Organism: Frieseomelitta varia
Lineage: Eukaryota; Metazoa; Arthropoda; Insecta; Hymenoptera; Apidae
Exons: 3
Source: RefSeq, a predicted model, not a curated record